RNAcentral lists this transfer RNA (72 nucleotides) under Weissella cibaria. RNAcentral's name for it is "tRNA-Thr". It matches the Rfam family "tRNA". Rfam says of the family: Transfer RNA (tRNA) molecules are approximately 80 nucleotides in length. Their secondary structure includes four short double-helical elements and three loops (D, anti-codon, and T loops). Lineage: Bacteria; Bacillati; Bacillota; Bacilli; Lactobacillales; Lactobacillaceae. The record is from RNAcentral.
GCCGACUUAGCUCAGUUGGUAGAGCAACGGUAUCGUAAACCGUAGGUCGAGGGUUCGAAUCCCCAGUCGGCA